CUCCGGGCUUUGUUUGCGCAGGAUAGGUGGGAGGCGCUGAAAAUUUUCUUGCGGGAAGAUUGGAGCCGUUGGUGAGAUACCACUCUAACAAUGCUAGGAUUCUAACCCUACACCGUUAUCCGGUUAGGGGACAGCUUCAGGUGGUCAGUUUGACUGGGGCGGUCGCCUCCCAAAAGGUAACGGAGGCGUGCAAAGGUUUCCUCAGGCUGGUCGGAAAUCAGUCGUAGAGUGUAAAGGCAUAAGGAAGCUUGAUUGUGAGACCUACAAGUCGAACAAAGACGAAAGUCGGCCUUAGUGAUCCGACGGUUCCGAGUGGAAGGGCCGUCGCUCAACGGAUAAAAGUUACUCUAGGGAUAACAGGCUGAA
This 366-nucleotide ribosomal RNA is filed under the name uncultured eukaryote. Its description in RNAcentral is "LSU rRNA". It matches the Rfam family "Bacterial large subunit ribosomal RNA", at positions 2121 to 2486 of the family's 2925-position model. The record is from RNAcentral.